RNAcentral lists this ribosomal RNA (554 nucleotides) under Salmonella enterica subsp. enterica serovar Infantis. Its description in RNAcentral is "partial 23S ribosomal RNA". It matches the Rfam family "Bacterial large subunit ribosomal RNA", at positions 2250 to 2803 of the family's 2925-position model. RNAcentral also lists the same sequence under 2 other names. Lineage: Bacteria; Pseudomonadati; Pseudomonadota; Gammaproteobacteria; Enterobacterales; Enterobacteriaceae. The record is from RNAcentral.
GACAGUGUCUGGUGGGUAGUUUGACUGGGGCGGUCUCCUCCUAAAGAGUAACGGAGGAGCACGAAGGUUGGCUAAUCCUGGUCGGACAUCAGGAGGUUAGUGCAAUGGCAUAAGCCAGCUUGACUGCGAGCGUGACGGCGCGAGCAGGUGCGAAAGCAGGUCAUAGUGAUCCGGUGGUUCUGAAUGGAAGGGCCAUCGCUCAACGGAUAAAAGGUACUCCGGGGAUAACAGGCUGAUACCGCCCAAGAGUUCAUAUCGACGGCGGUGUUUGGCACCUCGAUGUCGGCUCAUCACAUCCUGGGGCUGAAGUAGGUCCCAAGGGUAUGGCUGUUCGCCAUUUAAAGUGGUACGCGAGCUGGGUUUAGAACGUCGUGAGACAGUUCGGUCCCUAUCUGCCGUGGGCGCUGGAGAACUGAGGGGGGCUGCUCCUAGUACGAGAGGACCGGAGUGGACGCAUCACUGGUGUUCGGGUUGUCAUGCCAAUGGCACUGCCCGGUAGCUAAAUGCGGAAGAGAUAAGUGCUGAAAGCAUCUAAGCACGAAACUUGCCCCGAG